RNAcentral lists this long non-coding RNA (15709 nucleotides) under Theobroma cacao (cacao). RNAcentral's name for it is "long non-coding RNA (TCAC_LNC000654)". Lineage: Eukaryota; Viridiplantae; Streptophyta; Magnoliopsida; Malvales; Malvaceae. The record is from RNAcentral.
UAGAAUGAAUGCAUGAUCUUUCCUAGAAGCUUGCAUUCCCCGUUUUUGGUGAGGCAUAAGGGAAGAAGCCUUGUUUCUUCUCUGGUGUGUGUGUGUGUAUAUAUAUAUAUAUCAGUGACAGCCUGUUUCAACCAAGAACCCUCCCUCCUUCCCUUUCUCUUUCACUCUACUCAAAAGAAUUCUAGUGUAGGUGUUCCUUUGCAGGCACUACUUAAUUCCCCAGAGCCGCUUAAGUUUGCUUCCCAACCGGCAGCCUCCAGAAAUGGGAGGAGAAUUUUUGCUUAAGAUCUGGGUCAACGCUCUCAAGGACUUUCAUUACGAUAUGGAGGAUUUGCUUGAUGAGUACUCCAUCGAAACUCGACAGUGUAAAUGGAGCACAGAAUGUCAAGAAAGCACUGCCGAGGUACGGAAACUUGUUUCUUGCUGUUAUAUUGAACUCGAUCCAAGCCUUGUUAGGGUAAUUAAACCAGUUUCACUGUGAACGAGUUUUGGCUAAUGAUGUGUAUGAAUUGGAUUUGCUUCAAGAGAGAGUAGAAGAAAUUGUUAGAAUGAAAUCUUUCAUAGUCCUAGGUGAUAUUUGUAAUGAGAACUAUAAGAAUUGAAUUCGCUUCCAUGGUCGUGGUUCCUUCGAAGUAAGUUAUUUGGGAAGUAAAACCACUGUCAUGACCCUAAGAUGUGUGUCCAUGAUUGAAAGUUCUGGGUUACCAUUCGAAAGAAAUGGGUAACAUCAAUCUUUGGGGAGAAGAAAAUUUGAUGAUCAGCUGUUUAUGAAAGUGAUUUGCAAAGAAAUAGUGAAAGGGUACGAGUGUUUACCAAUUGGUUACAAUGCCUCUGACCGGUUUUGCAGCCAAUGGCAAACACCAUCUUUCCACCAUAUUUUCCUUGACAAAAUGCCAACUGCAUACUUUCAUAUUCGGAUGCUCAUCAAAAUUUCUUCUCCCUGAGAUAAGAUGUCAUUAAUUUCUUUCGAUUAUGAUGUAAUUAUAUGACAGUAAUUUUACUUCCUGAACAGCCUAGUACUUCAGAAGAAAUACUGCAAAGAGCCAUUGGAUUCUCAUAGAUAGUUUUCAUUCCAAAUAUCAUCUAGAACUAUGAAAAUUUCCUUUCAAUCUCACUUGUAAUGAAUUCAGCUUAUUGGCAUUACAAGGCUUGGAACUCACCCAUGGUAACAGUACUGUUUUCAUGUCCCUAACAACAUCAACUUCUUCAGAAACAAAAAUCAAGCUUUCAAUUCAAAGAAAUGCUUAACUGUUAACAUUAUUGUUGUAUAUUUAGCAAGGGUUGUCUUCCCCACUCCUACCAUAUUAUCUUGAUAUCGUCGGAUACUUGAUGAUGACUCGAGGACUACUGGCUUCAUCUCUGAACUUCUGGCUUUCAAUUCAAGGGUUUUUUGCUCCUGAGAUGUAUCUCUAAACAAUGGCUUCAUCUGUACUUGUCUUUGAUUCAAUAAAAUUCUUUUUUGCUCUCUUUUUUUUCCGUCCAUUGUGAAAUGGGGAUUUGCAUCCUAUUGUUGUUAAGCACGCAGAUGCAUGCACUUAUCAUCAUAUCAAAUGCGUAGAUGUUAUAUUUGCUGUUAAAUUAAACAAAAACAGUAAAAGUAGGGAUUGUCAUGAAACAUUACAAGGAAACUUGAGAUGACAACAUUUAAUUUCUCCGGGACAAUGCAUCAAUCAAAAUGAUGUUGUGAUUGAAAUUAGCUGUACAAUUUAACAAACAGCCCUUUAAGCUAUGUCUAGAGCAUUCCUCUAACACAAGAACAAAGGUUUCAUAUCUCCCAGAUGGUUCAAAAAACAGUAGAAAGAACCAAGACUUUUGCACAUUUAUAAAGAAUUAUGGGAUUAAUCCCUCUGAUCACAAAUUAGCCAAAUUUGGAUAAACAAAAGAAUAAUGCUUUAACUGGCCUGGUAUCAGGUAGGUUACUGCUCAGGCAUAAGCACAUGUCAAACUGCUGUUGCAUAUCCAGCUUCCGAAUGUAUUUAAAUUUUGUCGUCCUGUUACUGUUUCAGGCACAUAGCUGUAGAACGUUUUUUCUCUUUCUCCUUGAACUUGUAUACAUUUACACAUAGGCAUUGGAGUGUACUAACAUGUGUCUGGUUUAUAGAACAGAAGAGACCCAGAUCAAGAAACUGGUUUGCCAAAAGAUUUUAAACGAGAAAGAUAAUUAUGACGAAGAACUGAUCAAGAAAAUGUGUUCAAUUCAAUGCUUGAUUUCUUCUUUCGUCUGUCCUACUGCCCUUGGAAUUUGUAAACGUUUGUGCCCACUUUCCAUUUUGAAUGGUUUUAGCUCGUGAUUUUGUUUAAAGCAGGCUACAAUAUGCUGUGUCAGGAUCGACACAACUUGUAAAGUAUCGCUUUGAUUCAUUGAAUCUCAUGAUUUUGCUAUACUUCACAAGAUGAAAAUAAUGUGAACACUUAAAUAUAUGAUCAUACUCUCAUAUGUAGUCGAUACGAAUGCAUCCCUCUGAAACCGUGACAUCCUGCAAUGCCAGGUUUAAGGCAAAUUUUAUGUCGGUUCUGCAAGCUGCUCACUCACUACAGCAGGAAAACUAUUGAAGCCUGAGCAUGAUACACAAUGAGUGUGCAACUAGCUGUAACUGUCGUUUUAGGAAUACAAGUAUCGACGAAAAAGAGAUGACGAUUUCUAAUUGUCGGGGAAAAGAAGCCAGGGAGGGCGAUCCGAUCAAGCAGUGUCGCUGAUCAGUAACGCUGAUAGAGGUGUAAACUGCACUGGGCUUAGUAAAAACCCGUACAAGUAAAAACCCGUACGCUUACUUAAACGCUGCGUUUUGACAUUGUCGUUAUUAUCUCGCAGUUUUUCUUUUUCUUCUUUUUAACACAAUCCCUCUCUUUUCUCUCUGCCUCACCGUUUACCGCCUUAGCGAGGGAAAAACAUGGGACCCAGCCCGUCGGCCGGUUCGUCGGCGAUGAGGAAGAGAAGCGGCGUGAGCGGUGGAACAAGAAUGGAGAGGCUGGACCACGAUAUCCUGUGUAUCAUCUUCUCCUUCCUGAACGUCUUCGACCUCGCUCGCUGCACCGCCGUCUGCAAAUCCUGGUACUCUUUCUCAAAUUUUCUUUUUUCUCCAGGAAUUAUUUUUUAUUUUUUUAUUUUUUUUAUAAUUAGGGAGUGCAGUUGUUAAAAAAUCCGAGUUAUUGCAAGCGUUGUAUUUCAAGCUGCGGCGAGAUUCCAUGGGCAAUAUUUCUACUGAGUCUAAUUCUUCACGGCAGUCAUGGCAAUUAGGCCUAGAAGAAGCAGCCAUGAAGUAUCAUAGCUUAUCUUUACGACGAGGUCGUAUCGAUAUUCAUCAAUGGAAAGCUCAUUUUGUCCGGUAAAGCUUUGGUGCUCUUCUUGUUGAAAUGCAGGGCGUUUGAAACUCCAAUUUACUCAUACAUUUUCGAUUUUUGUUACAAAAGAUGCUGGAAACCAAGGCCUCAGACAUUUCUAACCUUGUUUUUUGUUAGGGUUGAUCAGUGCCGGAUGAAGAUGGGCUUACUUCUCACUGGUGUUGGUGACAAGGUAUGGUUAUGCCGCAUAAACCUGUUAUGGCAAUUUUAGGUCUUCCUUUCAAUUUAAUCAUGCCUGCUUCCCCGGUUUAUGCAUCAAAAGAGAAGGCAUUGGUCACAGCAGUUUCAUAUGUUUGCAUGUAUAAGCCAAUCUUAUGGUAUUCGUUUCAGUCAUAUUUGAAAACAACCAGGAACAAAUUGUUCCCCAUGCUUGUCAUUAGGCAAAUACACAUUGAGGGUUGUAGUCUGUAUGAUAUUUAUAGUUAGAAUAUGGUUGUAUUGGACAUAUAGGAAGAGUAUGGUUCUCAAAAUGGCAAAUUUUUUUUUACUUUCGUUCCUACUUGGUGAACCUGGUUUGAGAGAUUUGUUUAAACGCAUUCCAAUUCUUUACCAUUUGCUUGAGGUCAAUAAAUGUCAAUUGCAUGUCCAAAUUAUUCAUGAAUCGGUAUCUGAAGUACAAAGAUAAUAUUGAUGGCUUUAUUUUUGUACUAAACUUAUCCUUCUUUUAUCUGGAAGGGUUUUUCUUUGCCCCUUCAAUCUACUAAUGUUUUUCAUGGAAACUAUACCAGGUUAUGCGUCUUUGGUCAUUGAGCAGCUACAAUUGUGAGGGAGAAUAUUACAUCCCUGAUAGUGCCCCUGUAGUUGACUUUGAUUUCGACAAGACCAAGGUGAUUUCAUCCUCCUCUUGUCAUUAGCUGGUUAAUCACUCCCCCACUUUCUUAUUCUCCUCCUUCUCUCUUCCCUGACCUCUAUUUUUUCCCCAACCAUGUCUACCAGAUUAGUUCACAAGUGGCCUUAAACAUAAAAUGCUCUUAUUAAGAAUGUAAUCAUUGUGUUUAUGUGGAAAUUUUUCAGAUGAUUUGAUCAAAUGAGUUCUUCUGAAUAAUUGCUGUUCUUUUUCUUCCAGAUUGUUGGUUUGCUUGGUACAUAUGUAGGCAUAUGAAGACGCAAUGGGAAAAGAAGUAUAUUUCCCUCACGUGAAGGCACAUUCUCAAAAGGUUUAUGCAUGCCGUAGGAAUGUUGAUUGACAGAAUUGUCUGGCGAGAAUAUUCAUGUCUGCAAUGGUGGUAAAUUUAUCUAGAAAAGAAAACAAUUUCAAACUUUGCUCCUAAACCACAUUAAUUAGUUCGGUAUCAAGGAAUGUCAAUCAGUUAUCGGCUUUGCUAAAUAUUAUAUUCUGGAGUUAUCCUAGGUAGUAGUAUAUUCUUCUAAUUAAAGAGAAGUGUGAGUUGCCUAUUAUAUAUGACAUGACAUUGUAAAAUUUUUUUGGUUAAUGGGAAAUGUCAUGCUCUUUUUUUCUAAAGGACUUUCAUUUGUUAAAUGCAACUAAACAGCUUUCUUCAACAGGUACACUGAUCCAGAGGCUGUCAUUGGAUGUGAGGAUGGAACUGUUCGGGCAUUCGACAUGUAUAGUAGGACAUGUUCUCGAAUUAUUAAGUAUGCGCUGCACUUGCUGAAUGUUAUAUGUUUCACUCUUAUCUUCCAAUAAUGAAAUUUCUGUAGGACAUUGUGGAUCAUUAUUUUACUUGAUCUCUGCUAUCUCUUUCAUAUAGCGCGAAGAUGUUUCUUGCUCAUCACUCUCGAGCGAUACUUUCUGUUAAGCAAAGUAGUUAAAUACCCCACUGCCCGUUAAGAAAUUUUGAUUUGAACUUGGGCCUUGAUCUUCGUUACUAAAUUAUCUUGGUCAUUAAACUCAUUUUGCAGAAGUGUCUGUAAAGACCAUUAUCAUAUUGAGCACCCUUUGUCUUACACAAGUUUUUGAGAAUAAUGCUUGCAUGAAUCUUUUCUUGGACUUUGAACAGUGCCCCAAAUUAUGGAAAUUAAAUGUUCAGUUAUGUAAAUUAAUACAUGAAAUGGAUUUUGACUCAUAGAUGCACUUAAGUAAACACUUGGCUGUUUAGUGGAAAGAAGGUUGAUCAUAUUCUGGUGAUUUCUUAUACCCAUAUUGGAAGGACUCAGUGUAAUGCUGCUUAUUAAUAUCCUCAUUGCAGGAUGCAUGCUGGGCCUGUAACAUGCUUAUCUCUGAGUGAUGACCAUUUGAUUCUCAGUGGAAGCUCUCUUGGUAGUGUCUCAAUAUCCAGCCUCUCUUCCUAUCAGCGGGUGGCUACACUAAGGUCAACCAAUUCGGGAGGUUGUAUGAUUAAACACUUAUGAACAUCACUGCAUUUAAUGCCACUCUAGUUUCUUUUAGGUAUUUUGCAUCUGAAACAUGAAUCUAAUUUCUUCUUAUUCUGACAGGCAUAAGGACCCUGUGUUGAAGUGGGAGAACUGGUCUCAGCCUCAGGCGUUUGAAGCUGCAAAUAAAAGUUUCCCUCAUCUUCAGGAGCUUGUGACGUGGAAUUGUCCGAAGUUGGUAGAGGCUUUACCCAACUCCCUUACUUCCCUUGUAAAGCUUUCCAUUUGUGAAUGUCCACAGCUUGCAGCCUCUUUUCUGAGUCUCCCAUCUCUUUGUGAAUUGAAUUUAGAACAAUGUAAUGAGCAGUUUCUUGCAAGGUUCAUAAACCUCACUGCUCUCGCUAGGUUGAAAAUUGAGAACAUUUCAAAUCUUUCUUACUUACCCAAAGACUUCACAUGCUUGGUCUCACUUGAACGUCUUGAAGUUGAAGAUUGCGGUCAACUGACAUCCCUGUUGCAAGAGGGUGCCAGAUUAGAAAACCUUUCUUGUUUGAAGCGUUUAGCAAUCAUGAAGUGUCCUCAACUGUCGUGGUUGAUAGAUGACGAAGAUCAGCUACCCUCCAGCCUAGAGUAUCUAGAAAUAGAAGAUUGCACCGAACUGGAGAAGUUUCCAAAUGGGCUAGAAAAGCUUUGAUCAUUAAAAGAUUUGAGUGUUAAAUGGUGCCCCAAACUGAGGUCUUUCUCAAAUAGGGAUUUGCCUUCUAUGCUAAAAAACCUGGCAAUCUUGGGAUGUGAAUCUUUGGAGUCUUUUCCUAAGGGACUGGUGCAUUAUGAUAACAGCAGAAUCACUACAUGUCAUCAUGAAGACUUGGAGAUUCUUGGAUGUCCAUCCCUCUGUUUGUUUCCACCAGGUGAGUUACCAGCUGCCCUUACGCAACUUGAGAUUUGGGAUUGCAAACUGUUGGAGUGUAUUCCAGAGAGAUUGCUUCAGAACAGUAGGUCACUUGAAUUCAUUCGUAUUGGAAACUGCAAAAAACUGAAAGCCUUUCCUCAGUGUAUGUACAGCUUUGAAGAUCUAACUGAGUUGCAUGUAAAUCAAUGCCCUUCCUUGCAGUCUUUUCCAGAAAGUGGAUUGCCCAUCCGUACCCUCAGAACAGUCUUAAUCUCCAAUUGUGUGAAUCUCAAGUCCUUACCCAAUAAGAUGCAUGACCUCACAUCUCUGCAAUAUCUCACAAUAUUUGGUUGUCCAAGUGUAAAAUAUUUUCCAGAAGGUGGUUUUCCACCAAACGUGUUAUCACUUUCUAUUUGGGGUUGCAAGCAACUCAAGCAACCCUUUGCAGAGUGGUGCUUAAACAAGCUUACAUCUCUUGAAGACUUAAAUGUUGGUGAUUUUGAUUUAGAUAUGACUCCCUUCCCAGAAGACUCUACAAUUCCAUGAACUCUCGUCCACCUUCGAGUCCAGAGUCUACCUAAUCUGAGAUUUCUAUCCAAGGGGCUCCACAACCUCAUUUUUCUUGAAGUAUUAGAUGUUUGGGAUUGCCCUAAGCUCCAGUUCUUGCCAAAGGAUGGCCUGCCUAUCAUGCUUGGUGUACUUCAUAUCAGAAAUUGCCCUCUUUUAGAAAAUCAAUGCUUAGAUGAGAAAGGUGCAUUUUGGCCAAUUAUUUCUCACCUUCCUCUUGUGAGGAUAGAUUAUGUUGAUAUCUGAUGAACAAACUUAAGCAGAUUGGAUUCUCAGAUGGACGGCAAAAACAGAAGUGCCAAUACCUCCUACUGUUCAACCAGGUAAAACCCUUUGCUGCUUGAACAACUCCUCUGGCCCUCAACUUAGCACAUAUUUACUGAUAAUAUUUCAGCUGUACAUUUUGUGUAAAAGAAGAUUUAAAAACAAUUUAUACUACCUCCCUAACUAUUGGUGCAUGUGAAGGGAGGCAUGCUGCAUGACAUUGUUGCCCUUUAGAAGAAAGAGAAAGAUGCAAGGUUUACUUAAUGAACAUGCUCAUGAGAAGAUUCUCACACUAAUUUUCUUAGCUUUUAAUUUUGAAAUUAGUUAGAUGUAUCUGUUAAUUAGCUCACCUUCUCCUCCCUUUCCCCCAUUCCAAAUUACAUUAUGCCUCUAGCUUUAUCACACCCUAACCUGCUUGUUAUGUUGUUGUCAUUGCUCAGUUUACCAUCAAGUGAAUAAUAAUUAGUGUUGUUAUCCCUUAUAAGCUAUAGAAAAUAUCGAGAGCAUGAUCUCUCUGUUUGGUUGCAGAUUGCUGGUUUGAGCAUCUUUGCUCCUAAAGUAAUGGCUGACUGCUGUACUCAGAGGAUCAUAUGCUAAGUAGUGUAAUUCUUCUAAUGUAAUGAUACUCAGAAGAAAAACAUUAAUGUUACCUCAUAAUUCAGAUUCUUAGCAUGCCCUACAUUUCCAGGACUCUUAAUUGCAGCUACCUCAUAAUAUGUAAUGGAGGAAGUUGUAUUUUCUCUUGCAAUAGAAGUUGUACAAUCCUCUUUGUCAUUGCCACUCAGGUAUGCCCAUCCGCCAUUGGCUUCAUAAUUCUUUUUCUUUUUUAAAGAAAAAAGGGGGAAAGUUCAGGUGUCUGCAGUUAACCACUCGAAGCAAAAUUUAUUUGAAAAUAAAAUUUCUAUCUGAUACUACAAUGUGUAUAACUUGCCUUUCCGACGCAGAACUCUUGUGCCUCUUGACUUAGCAUUGUGAUUUAUUAAUAUGUUUUACUGCUGUGCAAUUUGGAAGAAAGAAGAUAAGAAGUAAAUUAUAUCACCAAUUCUGUGACCAUUGGUGCAUUUAACUCAGAUGGGCACACUGUUACACCAUUAUAUCCCUUGAGAAGAAAGGAAAAGAAAAAAAAUGUGCUCAAGGAGCAUGCUAGGAAGAAGAUUAUUGCGGGCGUAUCAAUUUCUGUCUCUUCCCACAAGCUAUUGCAAUAUCGUCCAAAACCAGUUUGUUAUGUGAUCUUCAUUGUUCAGUGUAAGUUCCCAACUGCCUCAUUGGCAAAUUGAAGCAUGAUCAUCUCCAACUUGGUUACUGUAUUGCAGUUCAACCAUCUUUGACUGUAACCUGUUCAGCAAACUUCCUCUCUCAAUUCUGCAAUAGAGGAAAUUCAGUUCUCAAUGUGCCCGCUAAUAAAGUAUACACAAGCUUGAAGGCAUACAUCGAGUUUCUUUCUUUUCUUUUUUUCAUUUAAGGGAAAAACCUGAGAACAAUAUAGGGAUAUCUAGAAAGAUAAAGGUUAAGGGUUGAAUUUAACAUUGAACAGAAAAUAGCAGCAUAUUGAGAGCAAAAUCCAUGUUUAGUUGUGUAUGGUAAUAAACAGGCCAUUGUGUUUUUGACAGAUGAGCAUCUGAACCAGAAAUAUUAAACUUUUUUUUUAUGGAAAUUUAUUCGACAUAAAGGCCAAAAUGUUGUGAUUUCUCCAGCUCAGGCCAAAAUCUUGUAAAUUUGAGGCUUUCGCAGACCAUUGAUCCCAAUGCAAGGAAACUAAGUUGCUGCUUGGAAUCAUCUUUUGUAGAACACUACUAUAGCUAAGUUGCAGUACAUAUAUACUCUUGAUUUUGCAUCAGAUAAAUCAAGUGAUCAGCACGGAGUUUAUACAAAUUCCAAUAGAAGUGCAACAAAAACAAAAAGUAGAAAGAACCCUAAGUACAUUCAGACCUGAUUCGGCAUAGCUUUUUCAGUCUAUUUCAAGGCAAGGGAUGUUGGAUAUCAUGGGCCAGUAUUCUCCUCUGUCUUUUUUGCACUUGUCUUGUAAAACAGGACAGCCAGAGAUGCAUAGUCGUCCAAGUGAGGCUGGCAGGCCUGUCUUUGGUAGGUAUCGAAGCUUGCGGCAGUCUUUAAUGUGUAACUGUUCGAGAGCUGUGAGGCUUUCGAGUCCCCUCGACAGAGAUUCCAAAUUCUGGAGGCUUUCCAUGCGAAGAUCGGUCAGAGUUGAAGGAAGCAUUACGCCCUCUUCAUCUGGAAAGGAAACCAUGUCUGCAGCAGGGCAUGUACCAGCAAUUUUGAUUUCCGUAAGACAGUUGAGUUUGUCCAGGCCCCACACUGACAUCGGCUUCUUCAGGUUUAUACAGUUACGGAGCUCGAGUGAAGUUAUGUAGGGUGGCAAACCACCAGGUGGAGUGGAUUCGAGAGCCAUGCAGACAGACAAACUCAGUUUCCGAAGGGAUGUGACGUUCUGCAUCUGCUUUGGCAGGGACCUGAGAUUCGAACAGUUGGAUAUGUGGAGAGUUUCAAGAUUGGGGAUUGACAACCCACUUUCCAGGAAGGAUUCCAAAGCAAGACAAUCUUCUAUACACAAAUAUUGAAGACGAGAUGCGCUAUUCCAAUUGUCAUCCGGAAGAAACUGUAGAUUGUUGCAGUUUACUAUACUCAACCUCUUGAGUGUCAAGGGCAACUUGCCAUUUGGGACGGAUUUAAGAGAAGGGCAUCUUACAAUCUCCAACUCUUCAAGAAGGCAAUAGGGGUUGUUGCAGUCUUUCAUCCUGAACGUAUCAGGCAAUGACUCCAGAGCCUCACAGUCAUGGAUUGUAAGGCACUCUAGUGUAUAGGGCAAGCCCAUCGCUGGAAAGCAAACAAAUUUUUGGCAGCUUUCAAUUCUGAGAUCUUUAAGAGAUGAGAAGCGGCAUAGCCCUUGCUUUUCUCCGACCAAGGAUACAAGCUCGGGACAAUUCUUUAGUACUAAACUCUUUAGCCGAGGCAGUUUUUCUGAUUCUGAUCCAUUCCACCAGAAACAGGUAAGUUCACUGCAACCUUCAAUCUCUAGAACUUCAAGUUUCACCAAGGCCUUUGUAAGCUCUUCAGUUAAGCAGGCAAGGCCGGAAAUUCUCUCCAAUUUCAAUUUGGUGAUGGAGCUGUGAUCAACCAUACCUUUAAGGAUUGCGUCACUACUGUCCGCAACAUUCAAUUCACCUAAGCAUGGGAAGCUUAAAGGUGAAUUUGUUAACACUGGGCACAUUUGAACAUCUAGUUUUACCAGAGAACAAAGGUUUCUAGGUAAGUUUCCAGUCAACUUAGGACAGUUGUGCAGUACAAGCUCACGAAGAAGAGGGAAAAGUUCAACAUUACCAACAGAUGAAAUCCAUUUCUUCCAUUCUUUCAUGUUCUCGAACCUCAAGAACUCCAAAGAUGGAAAAGCCUUAACAAAAGGAAAACCCUUCCCGUAAAAUUCAGGGCCCAAACUUGUCACCGCAUGCAUGCCUUUUAUAUUCAACUUUCUGAGCAAAGGUAGUCGCCCGAGUGAUGGCAAUGAUGUGCAAUUUAUACAAUCAGAGAGGUCUAGAUGUUCUAUUUUAGCAAAAGAAGGAUUCCCAACCCAAUAAGGGAACUCUCCAGCUCCAUAAUUUGAAAUAGAAAGCCGCUGUAGAUCUUUUGGAGGGCACAGUGACUCAAGGACCUGCAAUUGGUUGGGUCCGUUUCUAGAGAGAUUUAAAUCAUUGCUCCAUUCCAGGGCUAACUCCUUCAAAUCAAGCUUUUGCUUUAGAUUGGCAACCCUUGCAUCUUGAAUAUCCACCACGUUCUGCAGCCUUAGAAUGGAGAGCUGACCUUGAAGAGACAAAUUCUUUAAGUCUCUUAAUGUCAGCCCACCAGCUUUCCCGAUGAUAAAUUUGGGCAGUACCCGGAGACUAUUCAAAUUCCCUAGUCCUGAUGGCAUCUCUUGUAGCUUGGGAGUAUCACUGAUGUCAAGACGACGCAAUUUAAUCAAUCUACUGGUUCCAACAGGCAAAGCAGUAAGUUCUCUGCAGUGUUUUAGUAUUAAUAUUUGUAAGUGGUGAAGAUUACCAACUGACUCAGGGAGCAAUCUUAUUGCACUUCUAGACAAAUUAAGGUACCGCAGAUGCUUCAGAUAACCGAUCGAAUUCGAUAGGUCUCCAAUGAAAUAGCCACUCAAGGAUAACACUCUUAAGCGUUUUAGUUUUGGCAGCAAUUGGUGUAAUACCUUACUACUUAGAUAGCAAUAGUCUCUCUGAUGUAAUAUAGGCAAUGCUAGGAAUGACCUUACAUCCUUUCUUUUGCUAAAGAUUUCAAACCUCUGUGAGACGUUAUAUUGAUGACGAAUGAAUGAGACAUGGCGAGCCUUUUCAAAAGAAUGUUGGCCAUCAUCAAUCUGCACUUCAUGCUCCAUGUUAAAACACAAGUCCCCGGCAACAGAUUGGGCAAGAUCAAUAAUGAGGUCAUGCAUUACGAACAGCGAUUUGUUAUUAUUCGACUGUUGAAAAAAUGACCUUGAUAGCAGAUCAGAAAAGUACUCGCGGCCUAUGUCUUCCGGUUGCUUAUCCCCUUUCUGUUGCACCAAACCUGCUGCUAUCCAUAAAAGAACCAAUUCAUCUCUAUCGAAUUCGUGGCCCUUUGGAAACAGAGAGCAAUAAGCAAAACAUGGCUUCAAAUGAGAAGGGAGGUGAUGGUAACUCAAUCUUAAAUCAGAAAAAAUGCCUCCUUUCUCUUCUGUUAAAUCCCACAUCUUGCUCCUGGAUACAGCUUCCCACUCUUCGUAGGUCACCUUGUUGCGCAGGAGGCCUGCCAAGGUUUUUACUGCCAAAGGCAAUCCCUUGCAUUUCUUCACUAUUUCUUUGCCAAUAUCGUUCAGAUGUGGAUGCCCGUCAAAGUUUUCUCUUCCCAGAGAAUGGUGGGCUAAAACAGACAAACAAUCAUCAUAUGCCAACUCUUUUAACUGAUAAGCAGGCAGGGUACCUGUCAUUUUAGCAACGUUUUGAUUGCGAGUCGUGAUGAUGAUUUUGCUUCCCGACUUGCCAACUUCCAAAGGGAGGAUAAGGCUAGUCCAAUCAACGUAGUUAUCAUGCCAAAAAUCAUCCAGGACAAAUAAAAUUUUCUUCACAGAUAGCUCCUCUUUCAGCUUGAUAUGAAGCAAGUUCAGGUCGUUGGUAUCAGGAACUCCACCAUUAACAGACUGUAAAAUGGCUUUCAUGACCUUUAUGACAUCGAAAUCUUCUGAAACAUAGAUCCAUGCUUUUGAGUCGAAAAACCCUGCGACUUUUUCGUCAUUGUAAACCAGCUGAGCAAGAGUUGUCUUGCCAAUUCCUCCCAUUCCAACAAUGGGAAUCACUGGCACUUCAGCAUCACUUGUUGUCUCCACCAGCAGCCGCUCAACUAUGGCUUCCUUAUCCUUUUCUCUGCCGUAAACAUUGACUUCAUUGACUAAACACGUUGUGGGCAAUCUUUGAUCCCUUGCCUUGUAGGCCCUUCCCUCAACAUUCUCUCUUAAUUCGAGGUCGCUCUUUUGUGUCGCAAUCUCCUGCAGUCUAGCAUCGAUACCCUUUAUCUUUGACCUCAUCUUGACACUAAACGUGCCAGCACCCCAUUUAAAACAACUUAAACUAGCAAGGUUGUGCCAGCAUCUUACCGUUCUAACGCUGGUACGAGGUUGUGCUGUCAACUUGUGUUGCAAAGCUUCGUAGGCAAACUCGUCUAACACGUCCUCAACGUCGUAAGCCGAGUCUGUUAGCUCGGUCAACCAGAGUUUAACUGUCCUAUCUGUCACUGGCUUCUCUCCUGCAUCAGUGAGAACUGCGUUGAUACUCAGCAGCGUCUUCUCCAACUUUCUGAGGUCAACAUCAAGUUUCUCCUUCUUGGCAAAAUAUAUCAAGUCAGAAGAUUUAAACCUGCCAAGCAGCGCCACAAACAUGGAAGUGAAAAAACCUUCUCCGAUUGCAGCUAAUGCUUCCAUCAGGGAUCAUAAAUAUUUUGCAGAAACAAGUUAAAGGGGUUUAAGAUUAUAGUUAAUAGAAAUGAAACGAAGAGAGAGAAUCCUCAGAAACAGAACAAGACCAGAGAUUAGGAUCAAAGUCAAGCACUAAGGUUUCUGUGCUAGUUCUUCUCUUUGCAUUUACUGAAACCAAAUUCUCUUCCUUCCUGAAUCCUGGAAACUUUGCCUGUCAGGGAUUUGGGAGGUCCCACAGGGAAAUUGGCAGGGGUAUUUCCUGAUUGACUAAGUUUAAGGUCUUUAUUGAUUGAGGUUAACAUCAGUACACUUCUCCCUGACCCCAAGCUUACACUAGUCGGCUGUACUAAAAAACAAAGAGGCAAAGGCCGACCAAAACAAAAGCAGAACUUCCCCCAUUGGACUAAUUUUUUUCCAUCUCUUCUUUUCUUCUGGUUUGUGGAAGAAGAGCGCUACUGGACUUGAGCUGGCGCAAAUUUUCCACGGCUGUUUCCUGGUAAAAAAUUACGUAGAGCAAAGAAAUUAUAGGGGAAAAAUCAAAGAAGCCACAUUCCAUCUUCUUAUACAAGGCAAAUACUAUAUGUUACAGCAGAGAGAAAAAGGAACUGAUACUAGAGAAAUUUUGGGUCAAUCUGGAGUCUGGAAAAGGAAAACCUUUUACUCUCCAGUCUUCCACCUGUUAAAAACUUUGUUUUCCUGAUCACCAUGCAAGUUUUAUUGGCACACUUUUUUUUUUUUUAAACCAACUUGCAUUCCUUUCUUUCCUGGAACAUUGAAUCAAGCUAAGAAUUGAAGUCUGUAGAGUCAAAUUGUUUCAAGAUUUGAAUGUUUGUUAGUAGAGUACUAAGUAUCUUAAUUGCAAGAAAACACGAAAGAAAAGCAAAAAACGAGCAAUACAACCUUGAAGUUGAGUGGUUGGUAAUUAUACUAAUCACAAAGAUGUUCUGCCUUUCUUUGGCCAUUAAUCAGAAUCCAUAACGAAAUUCCAUUGGAAGUUUUGCCUGGUCAAAAUUGGAGGCCUAGCCUUAGCAACGGGGACCAUGGGGUAAAUAUCAAAUUCAGUCAUUACCAGGAAAUGACAUAGUUUUUAAAAAUGGUAGUGCUCAAUGAUGCAUUAGUUUCUUUUCGAAUAAAAAUAAAAAUAUCCUCUUGCUGCUGUGUUUUGUCUUAAAUAUAUAUUUUUAUUAUAUUACAAGAAUCAAGCGUAGAAACGAGAAGAAGUUAAUGUUGAUGUAUUUUCAAAAUUAAAAGUUAUGUCAUAUUAUAAAAACCUAUCUUAACUUAAAAGUUAUGUCACGUAAAGUUAUAUAGUGUGACUAUUGGAUUGUAGGUAGAUUUUCAUGUGAAUGGUUAUAUCUUUUGGUAAAAUGACAUUCAAAAAUUAUGAAACAAAUUAAAAAAACACCAUAACUCAAAAGUUUAAAUAUGAAAAGUUAUUUUUUCAAAUUAUAACUCAAAAAUUAUAUUUUAUGAAAUGAAUAGUUGUAAUGAUUAUUGAAACAAUACUUUUAUCCAAAAGCUGUGUCCGGUAAAAUGUAAAAAUGUCUUUUAGACAAAAUAGUAUUUUAAUGAAAGGAUUGUGUCCUUAAAUAAGAGAUACUUGCAAAUCUAUAUAAAAAGCUUGUUACCAACCAUUUUAACACAUUAAAUAAAAAAUAAUACAAAAGUAAAAAAAUUAAAAGUAAGAAAAGUGUUGUGUUCUAUUCAAGUAAACAUUUGAGUUCCUAUCAAUUACAAAAGUAUCCAAAUUCAUAUAUAAUCUACUUGCUGUAAAAAGUAGACUUUAAGAUCGAACAAUUUUGCAAACCUUCGGUAUAUCUAGCAAUCUACUCUCUUGCGGUCAAUUCUUGUAAAAUGUAAGACGAAGUUAAACAUUGACUUCAUUGUAUCCCUACGCUCAUUUGCAUUAUUUCCCUUUACAGAUCGAGUGGUGAGGGUGAAAUAAGUGUUAAAAUAGCAUCUAUUGAAAGGCUCACCUUAAAGUUAAUUUUUUCAAUUUUUUAAAUUUCAUCUAAAUCUGAUUUGCACCAACAAUUAAUUUAAUCAUUACAAUAAUUAAUUUGAUUAUUACAGUAUGUUGCUUGAUACCAUAAGUAAUUGUUUCAAGUCAUGGGGUAUAUUCACAAUGUAAAUGAGGAACCAUUUUUAACUAAACCUAUGAAGCUAUACUUAUUUGACAAGAUCUAGAAAUUAAUUUUAUUAACAAGAUAAAUAGAAUGAAUACAUGAUCUUUCCUAGAAGCUUGCAUUCCUCGUUUUUGGUGAGGCAUAAGGUAAGAAGCCUUGUUUCUUCUCUGGUGUGUGUGUAUAUAUAUCGGUGACUGCCUGUUUCAACCAAGAACCCUCCCUCCUUCCCUCUCUCUUUCUCUCUACUCAAAAGAAUUAUAGUGUAGGUGUUCCUUUGCAGGCACUGCUUAGUUCCCC